Molecule: transfer RNA, 73 nt
Filed under: Scleropages formosus (Asian bonytongue)
Lineage: Eukaryota; Metazoa; Chordata; Actinopteri; Osteoglossiformes; Osteoglossidae
Rfam family: tRNA
About the family: Transfer RNA (tRNA) molecules are approximately 80 nucleotides in length. Their secondary structure includes four short double-helical elements and three loops (D, anti-codon, and T loops). Further hydrogen bonds mediate the characteristic L-shaped molecular structure. tRNAs have two regions of fundamental functional importance: the anti-codon, which is responsible for specific mRNA codon recognition, and the 3' end, to which the tRNAs corresponding amino acid is attached (by aminoacyl-tRNA synthetases). tRNAs cope with the degeneracy of the genetic code in two manners: having more than one tRNA (with a specific anti-codon) for a particular amino acid; and 'wobble' base-pairing, i.e. permitting non-standard base-pairing at the 3rd anti-codon position.
Source: Rfam by way of RNAcentral
GACUAUGUGGCGUAAUGCAUAAGGCAUCUAACUUCGGCUCAGAAGCUUGAGGGGUCGAGUCCCUUUGUGGUUG